This is a non-coding RNA of Delphinella strobiligena, 93 nucleotides long. The record is from the annotation of a GenBank genome assembly. NCBI's taxonomy places the organism in Eukaryota, Fungi, Ascomycota, Dothideomycetes, Dothideales, Dothioraceae.
UCCCAUGUGGUCUAGCGGCUAGGAUUUGUCGCUUUCAAGUGUGCUGGUACACUGAGAACCGACAAGGCCGGGGUUCGAUUCCCCGCAUGGGAA